This 1014-nucleotide ribosomal RNA is filed under the name Drosophila mercatorum. Its description in RNAcentral is "eukaryotic LSU rRNA". It matches the Rfam family "Eukaryotic large subunit ribosomal RNA", at positions 1 to 832 of the family's 3401-position model. The record is from RNAcentral. Lineage: Eukaryota; Metazoa; Arthropoda; Insecta; Diptera; Drosophilidae.
UUAUACAACCUCAACUCAUAUGGGACUACCCCCUGAAUUUAAGCAUAUUAAUUAGGGGAGGAAAAGAAACUAACAAGGAUUUUCUUAGUAGCGGCGAGCGAAAAGAAAUCAGUUCAGCACUAAGUCACUUUGCCUAUAUGGCAAAUGUGAGAUGCAGUGUAUGGAACAUCAAUAUUCUAGUAUGAGAAAUUAACGAUUUAAGUCCUUCUUAAAUGAGGCCAUUUACCCAUAGAGGGUGCCAGGCCCGUAUAACGUUAAUGAUUAUUAGAUGGUGUUUCCAAAGAGUCGUGUUGCUUGAUAGUGCAGCACUAAGUGGGUGGUAAACUCCAUCUAAAACUAAAUAUAACCAUGAGACCGAUAGUAAACAAGUACCGUGAGGGAAAGUUGAAAAGAACUCUGAAUAGAGAGUUAAAUAGUACGUGAAACUGCUUAGAGGUUAAGCCCGAUGAACUUGAAUAUCCGUUAUGGAAAAUUCAUCAUUAGAAUUGUAGUAUUUAAACAAUAUUAUAAUAAUAGUGUGCAUUUUUUCCAUAUAAGGACAUUGUAAUCUAUUAGCAUAUUAAUUUAUCAUACAAUUAUGUCAUUUUGUUUUUUUCAAUUAGAGUGCUUGCAUUUUAACAUGAAAUAAUAGUUAUAACUUUGAUAAAGUGCUGAUAGAUUUAUAAGAUUACAGUGCGUUAAUUUUUCGGAAUUAUAUAAUGGCAUGAUUAUCAUUGAUUAUUGUGUUUAUUAUAUGCACUUGUAUGAUUAACAAUGCGAAAGAUUCAGGAUACCUUCGGGACCCGUCUUGAAACACGGACCAAGGAGUCUAACAUAUGUGCAAGUUAUUGGGAUAUAAACCUAAUAGCGUAAUUAACUUGACUAUUAAUGGGAUUAGUUUUUUAACUAUUUAUAGUUGAUUAACACAAUCCCGGGGCGUUCUAUAUAGUUAUGUAUAAUGAUAUUUAUAUUAUUUAUGCCUCUAACUAGAACGUACCUUGAGCAUAUAUGCUGUGACCCGAAAGAUGGUGAACU